GUCGAACGAAGCGCCUGCGGCGGACCCCUCCGGGGGAAAGCCGCAGGGGACUGAGUGGCGGACGGGUGAGCAACGCGUGGGCAACCUGCCCCGUACCGGGGGACAACAGCCGGAAACGGCCGCUAAUACCGCAUAUUCCCGCGGGGCCGCAUGGCCCUGCGGGGAAAGCUCCGGUAGUACGGGAUGGGCCCGCGUCUGAUUAGCUUGUUGGCGGGGUAACGGCCCACCAAGGCUGCGAUCAGUAGCCGGCCUGAGAGGGCGGCCGGCCACAUUGGGACUGAGACACGGCCCAGACUCCUGCGGGAGGCAGCAGUGGGGGAUAUUGCACAAUGGGGGGAACCCUGAUGCAGCGACGCCGCGUGAACGAAGAAAUAUUUCGGUAUGUAAAGUUCUAUCAGCAGGGAAGAAAAUGACAGUACCUGACCAAGAAGCCCCGGCUAACUACGUGCCAGCAGCCGCGGUAAUACGUAGGGGGCGAGCGUUAUCCGGAUUCACUGGGCGUAAAGGGAGCGCAGGCGGCACGGCAAGUCCGGUGUGAAAGCCCGGGGCCCAACCCCGGGACUGCACUGGAAACUGCCGGGCUGGAGUGUCGGAGGGGCAGGCGGAAUUCCUAGUGUAGCGGUGAAAUGCGUAGAUAUUAGGGGGAACACCGGUGGCGAAGGCGGCCUGCUGGACGACGACU
This 682-nucleotide ribosomal RNA is filed under the name uncultured bacterium. RNAcentral's name for it is "bacterial SSU rRNA". It matches the Rfam family "Bacterial small subunit ribosomal RNA", at positions 61 to 741 of the family's 1533-position model. The record is from RNAcentral.